ACCGGCUAUGUUUAUAAAAAAACUUGCUGUAAAUCACCGCGGAGGACGAGAGCGAAAGGCUUUUCCCUCCCACCGCCUUCUCUCAACCUAUUCGAGGAAGAGCAGAAAAAGAGCCAGAGUUUUUGCUGUACAAAUAUUCCUUGUCUCCGAACCCUGCGGAGAGAAAAGAAAACCCAGGGAUCUCUUAGCAAAUCGAUGCAGCUUUUCGUUCUCUCUUUCUUCUGCCAUCGCCGCAUUUGCAUUUCCUAGCUCCCCCUCUCUGAAUCCUUCGUUGGAGAUCGAACGAGACCCGGAUAUCGACGGUGAUUAGGAAAACUAGAGGGAGAGAGGGGCAAAUCUGAGGAGAAAAUGGCCAGCCGGAUGAAAGAGGAUGAGAAGAACGAAAUGAUAAUCCGAGGGCUGCUGAUGCUUCAUGCGAACCGGAGAUGCAUUAAUUGCAAUAGUCUGCAUCUGUAGACCGCGUUUAAAAGAAUGCCGAAAAUCAGCAGUUUAGCAGUGCAUAAUCACAUGCUCUGGCAGGGGCGUUAACUUGUAUAACCUGAUGAAGCACCAACCCUUCUGGUCCGUUUUUAGAAUUACUCUUCCCAUCUAUGGCAUCUUAUCAAGGGUCAGUACAAAACAUUGCUCUACGAAACCUACUAUGCAGUUGCAGCUUUGUAACUCCUUCCCCGCGACAGAUACCAUCACAGCAACCAUCCUAACUAUCAUCCGCAUCUCCAAGUAAAGUUGUACCAUAUCCUUUAAAUUUGCCACUCUAGAUAUCUUAGAAUAGCCUCUCUUUCUAAAUGUUGCUAAUGCCAGGAACAAAAAUCAGGUCCAUAGAUGAUGCAACUGUUUCCAAGCAUCACAUCUCAACAUGUACCUAACGAUAUGGUUUCGAUGGUGUAAGACUUUUGAUAAUUAUCUGUUAUUUCUUUGCUCUUCAAUAAUCAUUCGAGCUAAUUACAAGA
Non-coding RNA from Phoenix dactylifera (date palm), 950 nucleotides. NCBI's taxonomy places the organism in Eukaryota, Viridiplantae, Streptophyta, Magnoliopsida, Arecales, Arecaceae. The record is from RefSeq and is a predicted model, not a curated record.